Molecule: unclassified non-coding RNA, 331 nt
Filed under: soil metagenome
Description: partial contains 5.8S ribosomal RNA, internal transcribed spacer 2, and large subunit ribosomal RNA
Rfam family: 5.8S ribosomal RNA (bases 1-120)
Source: RNAcentral
GAUGAAGAACGUAGCGAAAUGCGAUAAGUAAUGUGAAUUGCAGAAUUCAGUGAAUCAUCGAAUCUUUGGACGCACAUUGCGCCCCCUGGUAUUCCGGGGGGCAUGCCUGUUCGAGCGUCAUUUCACCACUCAAGCCUCGCUUGGUAUUGGGCAUCGCGGUCCGCCGCGCGCCUCAAAUCGACCGGCUGGGUCUUCUGUCCCCUAAGCGUUGUGGAAACUAUUCGCUAAAGGGUGUUCGGGAGGCUACGCCGUAAAACAACCCCAUUUCUAAGGUUGACCUCGGAUCAGGUAGGGAUACCCGCUGAACUUAAGCAUAUCAAUAAGCGGAGGA